This 128-nucleotide microRNA precursor is filed under the name Microtus ochrogaster (prairie vole). RNAcentral describes it as "miRNA (ENSMOCG00000006790.1)". The record is from RNAcentral. Lineage: Eukaryota; Metazoa; Chordata; Mammalia; Rodentia; Cricetidae.
GAAUUCCUCUGUGUAGCCCUGGCUGUCCUGGAACUCACUCUGUAGACCAGGCUGGCCUCAAACUCACAAAGAUGCAGCUGCCUCUGCCUCCUGAGUGCUGGAAUUAAAGGCAUGCGCCACCACUGCCC